Molecule: long non-coding RNA, 303 nt
Filed under: Marmota monax (woodchuck)
Lineage: Eukaryota; Metazoa; Chordata; Mammalia; Rodentia; Sciuridae
Source: RNAcentral
CUAAUCCUAAAACUUGAUGAGGGCCACAACCAAGUUAAGAUGGUGUCUGGCAGUAUGCUAGGAGGAGUGGUUUCUGAGCCAAUGCCAGCGAGCCAUUAAGAUGAUAAGGAUUCCUUAAUGACUGACUGCUGUAUCUAAUGAUGUUAAUUAAGUUAAGCUGUGUAUAAUUAUUAAGAUGAUGAGGAUUCCUUAAUGACUGAUUGCUGUAACUGGAUGAUGCUAAAUUGAAACAAGCUGUGUAUUCAGUUAUGUAUAAAUACCUCUGCUGUCCGUAAUGAAGCAGGUCCCGCUGUAUCAACCUUA